Molecule: long non-coding RNA, 2955 nt
Filed under: Canis lupus familiaris (dog)
Lineage: Eukaryota; Metazoa; Chordata; Mammalia; Carnivora; Canidae
Description: lncRNA (ENSCAFG00000052052.1, ENSCAFG00805011959.1)
Source: RNAcentral
GUAGAAAUGAACACACUUUAUAUAUCUAAGUUAGGGUAUCUGUACCUUGGAACUAUUGACAUUUCAGACCAGAUAAUUCUCUGUUGUGAGGGGCUGUCCUGUGUAUUGUAAAAUGUUUGACACCAUUUCUGACCUCUACCUACUAAAAGCCAAUAGUAUCAUUGCCCCCACCCCUGCUCACCAGUUGUAAGAAGUGCAUUUUCUCCAGACAUUGCCACAUGUCUCCUGAAAAGGGGUGUGUGUGUGCAGAUCACCCCUGAUCUAAACAUAAAAAAUUGUUCCUUAGCAUUACUUUAGAUGACACUGUAAGCAGACAGUAGGUUUUCUUAGGAGACGAAAGCAAGUGGGAAUAGUAUAUUGAUCAGAGGUUUCUUUUUCCCUAGGGAUAGGAGAAAGAAAAAGAAAACCACUACCUUAUCAGCUUGAAAGUGAAAAUACAAAGCUAGCCCAAAUAUUGCACUGGAGACCUGGAUUCACACUGAGAUAAUACCAUGUAUAAUAUACCACCAAAGAUGCAAAUAGGGAAUGACAACUCUUAGAUCUUACUCAGACUGUGACAGCUAUUGGAUCUUAUUCUUACAUCAUGGAAAUUGGGUAGUGGUGGCUCUGAAUACUUGAUGAAAAAAGAUAGGUUUUUAAAAUCUUCCAUCUUGCUCACAUCUUAGAUGUAGGCACAUCCUAGAGAUUCUUGAAUACAAAAGCAGUUUGGAGGGGAAGAAAAAAACAUUUUCAGUGGUGCCAGGAUAUUAUAAACAAUGUGUUUACUAUAAACUUGUUGAUAAUGUUUUGUCAACAGACGUAUGAUACUGGAUGCUCUGAGAGAAGUAAAAAUAUAAGACACAGCUCACGAUUUGGUAGGCAACACAAGGAAAAGGUGGUAGAAAUAGAAAUCAUAACUAAAUUUGUAGAUGAAAGCAAUAAUACUUCUACAGCAUAAGUAUUAAUUGCCAUUGGAACCCAAAGAAAUAUAAGUAUGAGCUCAGGCUGACAGGAUAGGAGGUCAGCCUUACUUGGAGAGGGAGUUUUGAGGCUCCAGAAGAACACGGGACACUGUGAUGCCCUUUGUCUCAAGCAUCUGGAGGUUGCUUAUGAUCCUAAUUAGCUGCAUUUGGAAAUUGGUGAGACAGCAUACACUUGACAUCAAGUGUCAACUCUGUGGUACUUAUUCCAGUGGCUUGGACUCUUCAAUACAGAGGUGAUCCCAUUUGUAAAACCUUUUUUCUCCCCUCAUGUAAUUCCUAAGGUUGAUGUCCUUGGAGGUAUCUUCCCAACUCAAAACUACCCAUUCUCUAGAAACAUUUAUCUCUACUCAAAAAAGGAGAAAGUCCUAUGGGUAUUCUCCUGGUAGCCAUGUUUGCUUUCUGAGAUGAGAAUUUUUACCUCAGGCCCUAGCUGAUUGGGUCCAGAUGGACACUUGAUUCCAGUUGGAUCUGAUUCUGGGCUGAGAAUUUGAUCGUAGGACUAAGAGGCACACCAGUCUUUUCAUGUGCCUGGAACUCUGCCUAUUAAUCUGGGAGGUGAUAGAGCUACCUUUUCCUCAGGAAGCAUGGAGAUGCCAUAAUAAGGUGGUGAUUUGCCUCCUCUGACUGAGACCCUGGGGGUACUGGUCACUGAUGCCCCUAGACCAGGUUAUCCCCUAGCCAUCCUGAGAAGGAUGAGGUUUGCUUGGGAGUCUUCUCAGAGCCCAAGCUAUCCUCUUUCCAUUGGCUCUUCCUCAUCACAAGGCCCCAAGACUCCUACCCUUCUAUGGCACAGCCGACAUCCCCUCACCACUGACCUUCACAGGAGUGUUCUGUGUAAAUCUCAAUACCCACAUUUCAGGGCUAUGCACAACAUUCAUGUCCAGGGAGCAGCUUUCUGCAGGCUGUGAUGUUGACAAUGGUCCCUUGACACCAGUUACUCAGAGCCUUCAGAACAGUGAUGGCUCAAUGUGUUAAUUGGCUUCAUUCAGGACUGUUCACUGCCUUCAAGGUUUCCAACCACAGACUCCUGUGAUGUUUUCUAGAUGCCAUGAAUUCACUUAAGAGUAAUCUGGCAAGAGAACCUGACUCACAUACUAUGGACAGGCUAUGCCGAGGUCCCAGAAGCUUUGAGAGCUGGAGUGGAAAUCCUGGCUUGGAACUGGGACUAAGAGAGCCCUAGGCAGCUAGGCAGCAGCAGACACAGGCUAAUAAUGCCUCUCUUCCCUGGAGCCUCCUCUUCACGAUGCGGUCUCAGGAAGGUCAGUGGGAUUGAAUGCACAAGGGUUGGAAGAGGAGGAGGGAUCACUGGGCAUCGAUCCCCCAGGUCUUUUUAGUGGGAAGUGGCAUUCUCAACCCACUGUCCUGCCUAGCCUGUGCACAGUGGGGAGAGAGAUUCCAUGUAGGGAAAUGGGGUACUACUAGCAAAGGGACUGAAGGAUUCAAGGUAAACAUUCACUCUGGAUCCUUGACAUCACUAAAAGUGCACAUAAAAAUUUAGAUAUAGUUUUAGAUCCUCUGAAGUUUAUCCACAGAACCCUGGUUAACAACCUUUCAUACAAAGGAAUUUGCUCAUUCCUAUGAUUUCUGACAUGAGUACUCAGGAAAUGGAAUGUCUGUGGGCUAGGAUGUUGAGAAGAUGUUGGUUGUAGACCAAGUGAUGAGCAGAAACCUCUGCAGAUUGGGAAGCUGUGUGGGAGACAUCCUCCUGUGCCGCUUUGGCAUACAUGAGGGAGAAAGUCCAGCUCUGGGGAAAAUACUAGGCCGGGGGAGGUCCCUUUGUUGUCCCUCCACCAUCCCCAUCACAGAGACACCUCUGGGAUCUGAUCACACUAAGAUUGAUGUUCAGCAUAGACAAGACUCAAAGAAAAAAAGCAGAGUAAAGCCUGUUAAGAGGGGGAAAUUCUCCAGGGCAGAGGAUCGCUAAGUUAAUUAUGCAGAUGUGAAAAUUCAAAGGAAGAAUAAUUAGACAGGCUGUUAAAGCUAAAAAAAAAAA